This 106-nucleotide small nuclear RNA is filed under the name Dasypus novemcinctus (nine-banded armadillo). The record is from RNAcentral. Lineage: Eukaryota; Metazoa; Chordata; Mammalia; Cingulata; Dasypodidae.
GUGCUUGCUUUAGAAGCACAUAUAAAAAAUUGGAAAGAUACAGAGAAGAUUAGCAUGGCCCCUGCACAAGGAUGACACACAAAUUCCAGAAGUGGUCCAUAUUUUA